GACGAACGCUGGCGGCGUGCCUAAUACAUGCAAGUCGAACGAGAGCGACCGGUGCUUGCACUGGUCAAUCUAGUGGCGAACGGGUGAGUAACACGUGGGUAACCUGCCCAUCAGAGGGGGAUAACAUCCGGAAACGGAUGCUAAAACCGCAUAGGUCUUCGAACCGCAUGGUUUGAAGAGGAAAAGAGGCGCAAGCUUCUGCUGAUGGAUGGACCCGCGGUGCAUUAGCUAGUUGGUGAGGUAACGGCUCACCAAGGCCGUGAUGCAUAGCCGACCUGAGAGGGUGAUCGGCCACAUUGGGACUGAGACACGGCCCAAACUCCUACGGGAGGCAGCAGUAGGGAAUCUUCCGCAAUGGACGCAAGUCUGACGGAGCAACGCCGCGUGAGUGAAGAAGGUGUUCGGAUCGUAAAACUCUGUUGUUAGAGAAGAACAAGUGCUAGAGUAACUGUUAGCGCCUUGACGGUAUCUAACCAGAAAGCCACGGCUAACUACGUG
RNAcentral lists this ribosomal RNA (498 nucleotides) under uncultured bacterium. RNAcentral describes it as "partial 16S ribosomal RNA". It matches the Rfam family "Bacterial small subunit ribosomal RNA", at positions 28 to 507 of the family's 1533-position model. The record is from RNAcentral.